Long non-coding RNA from Heterocephalus glaber (naked mole-rat), 3609 nucleotides. NCBI's taxonomy places the organism in Eukaryota, Metazoa, Chordata, Mammalia, Rodentia, Bathyergidae. The record is from Ensembl.
GGGAGUUGGGGGUUGGGUUUCUGUGUGUUUUCAGAGAAACAACCUCAGCUUCCAGGUUUCUAGAGGGGUUCCCCAUCCUCUGCUCAGUUCAGCCCCAGGCAGGCAGAACCGUGCCCAAGCCUCCCUCCUGAGCUCCCGCAUAUGCUUUCUUGCUAAAUGACUCUUGCUCCAUCGUCUCCUCACAGGGUACAUCUGCUGGGUGCCUCUCGUCCUCAACUCGGCUUUCAUCUUUUCGGAUCUCAACACAUUGUUUCCUCCAGUCCUGGUGCCAGGGUGGAAGGGAGCCAUCAAGCCCGGCCGCGCUCUGGGACUGGCAGCGAACGAAUGACUGGCAGCGGGCAUCUCUGUCAGCGCUUUGGCAUGCCGCAGAGUAGAAGCCCCACGCUAAUGAAUGCCAUCUACACCUACCAGAUGUGCCACUGGGUGACAUGCCAGAUCUUUUACAUAAUGCCAUUCUGCCGGACCCGAGACAGCUGGGGAUUCCAAAAAGGAAAACUGUUUAGAAGGUUAAAGGAAAAAUCCCACUGAGAACAGCUGAAAUGAAAAGGGGUUCCACAGCCCCAGCUCGUCCCGCUCUUCUCUACUCUCCAAGUGCAAGGGUGAGCUACCCACGCCCUAUCCCUUCCUCAGCCUCUCUGGUUCCGACCUCCUCCACUGCCCACCGGAGCCUGGGGAACGUUUAUCCUCAAGGGUGCGAGAGAGCCUGUCACUUUCCGUUCCACGUUCUGGCUGAAGUAGUUGUCUUGGGGUGGAGGUGUCCAAACCCUCCUGCCAUUUGGAACGGAGUGUUUCCUGGAGAGGGAUGGAUGAGGUGGGAGGAAGGGGAAAUAAGAAAACUGCUUCUGGCCAACAAGGGUGUGCGCGCCUGUAAGACAGUUUCCAAGCUCGGGUCCCAGCCCUCCACUCCCAGGGGGACAGGAGCUGGGGACCGGGGGAGGCGGCCUAACACGUCCCCAGCAUCCUCUCCACACCUGGCAACCGGGCCUGCCCGGGAUCCGGAGGACUCAUGGGGACCACCUCUGCGCCUCCUCCCAAGGGCCGCACCCCUCCCACGCCCCCUGCGGGGCCCUAGGGCCUCCCCUCCCCUCCCGCGUAGAGUCUCCGGCCAGCCAAGGGGCCCCGCGCCUGCCCGGUCCUCACAGCCCACCCCGCCCCGCCGCCUGGGCUCCAGAUGGCGGCGCAGCGAGAGCGGCACGCAGGGUCCCCUCCUCCCGCCCAGCUGCCUCUGCGUUGACCUGGCUGCUCAGCACUGCAGGCCGGCGCCUGUCUGACCGGGAGGGGGCGGUGUGCCCCGGGGGACGCAGGUUUCCUGCCUUCCCUCUCUCUUGCACCCUCAUAUUCUUGAGGGUUCUACGGGCCGGAGACGAUGUGAAUGUGGCCCCUCUGCGAAGGUGACUAGUUUUUGUUCGGGGUCGGAGAUGGCAGCUGAGGGUCCGGGGUGCGGUGCUUCCCGGGUCGAGUCGUAGAGCUCCGGGACGCGCAAAGUUCGGCGGCGUUGGCACGGCGGUGAGCCCUCUGCUCCCUCCGCAAAGACAACAGGCCGGACAGUGGCUCCCCGCACAGCCCUCCCGGACAGUCCUCGCUGCUUCCCUCCCCAGAGUCCGCGCCGUGGUGGGGAGUGACCCGAGAGGCCGCGCUCGGCGUCCCGCGCAGCUCACCCUCCCUUCCUGUCCCGUGGGGUGCGGUGUGCGCCCACCGUGCCCUCAGGUCCCUGAGCAAGGCGGUCACCAUCGGGCUUUAGACCCCAGAACGAGUUCCAUAAGCUCCCAGGAUAAAUCCCCUCGGAAACAUUAAUCACAACGAGCAGCCAAGGCAAAAUGUGUGCCAGUGCGGUGUCAGCCUUUUAAUUCCUGACGUAAUUCCGGAGAACAGCAUCAGACAAGGGCUCUAUUAAUCCCUGACAUGAGUCCAGGCGAUCUAUGACCUACUAGACUUGUUUCCCUGCAACUGCAAAAAGUGUUAGCCUCGCUUAGAGGGACGGCGAGGACAGAAAAGAAAGAGAGAAGACCCUCUGCGCUUUCCCACCGCAAUGGGGCACUUCAAUCAGAAGGCGCUUGUAGGCUGAGGCAGGAGGAUCCCAAGUUUGAGCCCACCCUGGCCAAUUUAAGGACUUAGUAGACCCUGUCUCAAAAUUUUAAAAGGUAGCUCAGUGCCCAGUAGCCUUCCCACCCCCCCCCCCCCAAGCACACCUGACUGAUGUGGAUGGACUCACUGGCCAGGGGUCCAGAAAUUCGACCCCUGCGGUGGUGGUUUGGAGGGCAUGGCCAAGGGGACAGGGUAGGCUGGUGAGCACAGGGGCUGGAGACCCAAGUGACCCAGGGUGGAGACGGCCUCCUGGCAGCCGCUAGGGCAGGAGGAGAGGUUAUCCAGUCAGGCGGACCAGCCAGAACUGGACCCCUGGGGCCUGUUCCUCGAGCUUCAGAUUUCACUAUCAUGUCGUUCAAUUAAUCAUAUUUCGCUUCUCUCAUUUUAUUCAAAACCGUCUUCCACUUCCCUCAUAAUCGUAAUUUGCGCCAUUGCCUUUUAUCCUUGAUUAAUUAGGAAGCUGAAAUGAUAAUGGAGGGCCGGACCAAUAAAUUAGCUUUGGGAACAGACGGACCUACGUCUGGGGCUGCAGCGUGGGUGGGCAGUGCCCCCGAGGCACGGGGAGGGGUGAAGUGCACCCUAACCCUAGCCCUAACCCCAACCCCAACCCCAGCGCCAACCUAACCCAAGACCUCUCCCUGGGGUGUUACGUUCUUCUGUUCGGAUCUAGAGUUGGCGAGGGGGCUGGCGUAGGGGGAGGGAGGGGCCCCGUUUUCCUUCCCAGAGGCCUCACCGCCCCUAGCCGGUGGUUAGGUUGAAAGUCUGGGCCUGCGGAGGGUUUGGGUCUGUUUCUUCCCGAGCUAGGCGCUAGAUUUACUGCCUUUCCUUCCUCCACUCUCCGCUUGCCUGCUGGCCUGAAGGAGGGAGGAAGGGAGGGAAAGUGAGCGAGAGGGAGAGGGGGAUGCAGAUUCUAAGAUCAGGUCAGAAACUCCUGGCCCAAGGGGGAGCUCCCCGCGCCCAGUCGCUCCCUGGCCUCGCUGAGCGGCGCCGGGCGGUUGGGGCGCCUCUCUUCUCCCUCCCUCCGUGAAAUCGAUCACGCCUCCAGACGGCUGAGGGAGAGCACUUUGCCACUCUUCACAGCUUCGCCCCAGCCUCUUUAGCUUUCAAUUGAAAAGCAAUUAAAGGUUUCUAUAAAUCUGUUAGCGCCCCUUUUAUCUGGGGACCCCUGAUGCAUGCGAUAUUGCCCUUUAGAUGCCUCUUCCGUGUUUUGUUUUACAAUUGUUGUAUCAAUAUAAUGCGGCCUUUCUUCUCCUGUCUCUAUAGAUACAGAUACACAAGGAAAACCAAAGCUAUUCAGGCUCCUCAUUUGUCCGGCAGCUAACAGUGGGGCCCUUUCUCUGCGGCUGCUUCCCUGCCUAGGCAGCAGCAGUUAUGGUAGAAGCAGAUGGCUACUGAUUGGGGGAGCUUUGUGGCUCUAAUACUGAAUACUUUAUGGAAAAGGACUUUAUCAUGCUUCGUUGGGCAGGGGAACAACGGGAUGAGAUUUACAGCCAGAAAAAAAUAAAUCUUUUUCCAAGUUGUGGC